GAUUAGUAAAUUUCAAUAAAAAAUGGUCAGUUUGUAACAACACUUUUAAUUUUGUUACUGCUUGUCCCAAGGUGCUGUCCAAUAUGCUGCAGGCACUGUGUAUUUUAAUGUGUUCCCUCACUUUUUGUAUAAAAAAACAUUGAUAAGGUUUCAUAAGCUGCAGUGAUUCUCCAGCAGCAGAAACAAGUGCGUCUCAAAUUUUCCAAGAUAACUAUCUCAAUUGGUAAGGAAAAACAGAGCAUUUUUUAAUGCUUUUACAGUAAUAGGUUUGUGAAUAUAAGCAAAUAUCACAACCGUUUUAUGAAAGUGGUGAAAGAAUGAAAGGAGGCAGCUGUGUCCAUAUGGUUGAAAUAAGUGCACCACCAGUGGAAUACUUAUUUUAAAGCGUCCAUAUUUUGAUGUGAUCAACGACAUGUUAGGGCACACUAAUCCAAUUACAACACUGCAUGAAAAUGGGAAUAUUUGCAGAAUGUCCUUUUUCAUUUGUCAUGUAAACAGCUUAGUCAGAGUGUGCAUGUGAACACGGUUACUGUAGAGAAAGGAUUUGCUGCUAAGCAGUUAACAGUUACUCAGAUAAAAAAUAAAUGAAUUUAUGGUUUAACUUAAAUGUUAUAAAGUCAGAAAAUAACAGCCUUUACUUUGUUGUGAGCCAAGAGAUCCUAGAUUAAGAUAGUGAUUGCAAGUGAAUAGGCCAAAACAGCUAAGAAAGUUGAACUAGUUGAAUGUUGUACAGCUGUGUGAUAACUCAAAAGGAAAGAAUAUACAAACGGGACAUAUAGAGUAUUUAAUUGAUUAAUUUAAGCCACUCAAAUAUUAAAUACCUAAAUUACAUUUACAAAAAUGUUGUCAGAUAUUUUAAAUCAUUUAGUGUGGUAUAUCUGAUAUAAAAAAGAUCAGAGGACAUACUUUAGCAUUGCGGUUUAUACUGCAAAGUUUGUAUUUGUAAAAUAUUUAAUAUUAGGGUUGAUAGGUUGGGUCAGUCAUCAACCCAAAGUGACAGUAUUUGACGAGUUGGAAAUAAUGGUGUCAGUACUGGAUAAGUUGGGAGUGAGACUCAAAAAUCAUCUAUCCCACAAAUAUGGCAAAACUGACAUUACUAUUUUUUACACAGACCAUAAAGCAGAACUCAAUUGAAGGAAUGUCUGCC
This 1147-nucleotide long non-coding RNA is filed under the name Sparus aurata (gilthead seabream). RNAcentral's name for it is "lncRNA (ENSSAUG00010001493.1)". The record is from RNAcentral. Lineage: Eukaryota; Metazoa; Chordata; Actinopteri; Spariformes; Sparidae.